AAGUGGUGCUGGGAAGACAAGUCUUCUUGCAACUGUAAGCUUGAGAACAAAAGGAAAAAUACAAGGAGAAGUGUCAAUUAAUGGUGAGCCAGUUGAUGCUGAAAUCAUGACACGAAUUUCAGGCUUUGUUCCCCAACAAGAUCUUGCCAUAGAAUCACUUACGGUACAAGAACACAUGGAGUUUAUGGCAACAAUGAAGAUGGAUCGAAGAAAUCAAACUUUAUAUAGAAGACAACGAAUA
Long non-coding RNA from Copidosoma floridanum, 241 nucleotides. The record is from RefSeq and is a predicted model, not a curated record. Lineage: Eukaryota; Metazoa; Arthropoda; Insecta; Hymenoptera; Encyrtidae.